GAGGCAUGGAAAAGAGUGUAAAUGAUCCUUUCACCUCCGCUGACCUGCAAUAAAGUAUGACAUGUCCAUUAUUUUUUCUUGAAAGCAAGCAAGAAAGAACACCUUCUUCCAGGAGCAGGCAAAGGCCUGACUGAUGGUGGCAGGCCUGAGAUCUGAUGCCUUGGACCAACUGAACUCACACCAUUUUAGACCUGUUUGAAGACUCCUGCCUCAGACAAAGGGCAGUAUGCAUGUAAUAUCUGAAUAUACCUGGGACUAAAAGAAUAACCUAUAAACCAAUCAACAGCAGUCUUGUGGCAAGUAAAGAAAAUAAAUAAAACCAAGGUCUCGCUCAGAAUAAAAGAGCUGAUCCUACUUGAGGUGGAACAAAACACCAAAUCUAGAAGAAGUUGUAUCUCUUUUCACAGCUGAUCUAGAGAGAGUACUUGGGAAUAUAAAUUCCAUGGACAUACUGGUAUAUCUAAACAAUCUCACUAUAUUUGCCUGAUGCCCCCUGGUGGCCAUGGGGACUGGAAGAAGAGUGGAGCCACUCCACCCUGGCGCUAUUGGGGGAGGAAGUCUGCAGGCAAGCAUUCUGCUUGUAAGUGGGAACAAAAGACACAGGGAGCUCACACAGGAAUGCCUUUUCAGGCCAAAGAGAACGGACCAUUUUGACUGAAAUGUGACUUCUGAGCGCAAUACAUUCGUUUGAACAUAUUACCUACCACAGUGGUAAACCCAUAAAAUUUGUAUCCAGAGACCUUUUUCAUAAAAUCAGAGAAUAAAAUCUGC
Molecule: long non-coding RNA, 771 nt
Organism: Suricata suricatta (meerkat)
Lineage: Eukaryota; Metazoa; Chordata; Mammalia; Carnivora; Herpestidae
Exons: 3
Source: RefSeq, a predicted model, not a curated record